AUCCACAUAUGAUAAAACUCU
Molecule: microRNA, 21 nt
Filed under: Macaca mulatta (Rhesus monkey)
Lineage: Eukaryota; Metazoa; Chordata; Mammalia; Primates; Cercopithecidae
Description: Mml-Novel-18_3p (mature (guide))
Source: RNAcentral